CCCCCUCCGAGGGGGCUGGUACCUCGAAAAUUUUUUUUUCAUUUUUCAACUGGAAUUUGACUUUUAUUCUUAAAAAUGAAGUUUUUUCCGGUCCUCUCCCCUCCCCUCCCCCCUCCGAGGGGGCUGGUACCUCGAAAAUUUUUUUUUCAUUUUUCAACUGGAAUUUGACUUUUAUUCUUAAAAAUGAAUUUUUUUCCGUUCCUCUCCUCUCCCCUCCCCUCACCCCUCCGAGGGGGCUGGUGCCUCGAAAAAUUUUUUUUGCAUUAUUCGACUCGUAUUCGAUAUUUCUUUGCAAAAAUAGACCUUUCCUCGUCCCCCCCACCCCCGCUCCCCCCUCCGAGGGGGCUGGUACCUCGAAAUUUUUUUUUUCAUUUUUCAACUGGAAUUUGAGUUUUAUUCUUGAAAAUGAAUUUUUUUCCGUUCCUCUCCCCUCCCCUCACCCCUCCGAGGGGGCUGGUACCUCGAAAAAUUUUUUUUUCAAUAUUCAACUGGAAUUUGAGUUUUAUUUGCAAAAAUGGAUUUUUCCCAUUCCUCUCCCCUCCCUUCACCAUCCGAUGGGGGCUGGUACCUCGAAAAAAAUUUUUAUUGAAAAACUGGAAAAUUGAAAAAAAAAGUCUUGAAAAUAAAUGAUUGAAAAAAUGUAUCAAAAUUGAAGAAUUGAAUAAAAAUUUUCGAAAUUGAAAAAAAAUAUAAUUUUCAUUGAAAAAAUGGAAAAUUGAAAAAAAAAGUCUUGAAAAUAAAUGAUUGAAAAAAUGUAUCAAAUUUGAAGAAUUGAAUAAAAAUUUUCGAAAUUGAAAAAUUAAAAAAAAAAAAGUCUGAUCCAAACUAAAAAAAAAAAAAAAAAAAAAAAAUGUUCCCAGUUGAGAAACAUUUGAAAAUUUGAAAAAUUGAAAAAUUGAUGAGAAAAAUUGUGCAAUUUUACAUAUCAAAUUUUCUACAACCCUCAGAAAUGCCCAAAAUUCCAACAAAUUUUCCAAAUUCUCGAAAAUAUUCUCAAGUGCGUCUGCGAGGUAGGUAAUUUAUUGUUUCGGCGACAGAAUCCAUCACAUGUCACCAAGUGGGUUUUUGACCUUUUUUUAGGACUACUUGGUUUGUUUGAAAAAAAAAAAAAAAAUUUAAAAAAAAAGUCACCUACGAAGUCUCCGUGAAUCAUGGGUAUUUCGUCCGUCGAAAAUGUCAUCUCUUGUUGAAAAUCACCUACAAAGUCUCCGUGAAUCAUGGGCACUUCGUUGGUUGAAAAUUUCAUCUCUUGUUGAAAAUCGCCUACAAAGUCUCCGUGAAUCAUGGGCACUUCCUCCGUCGAAAAUUAGUUUUCAACAUUCUCAUGUUUGAAAAUUUUUAUAAUUGAAAAUGUUUCAUAUUUUCAUCGAGAUUUUACAAAAUUCUUCAAAUUAAUAUAUUUUGUAAAUUUGCCGCAAUAAAAAAAAUCGCCAAAAUUUCAAAACCGAAUUUUUCAAUUAUUCAUUGUGUUGAAUUGGGUGUUUUAAAAUAUCUAUUUCCCUUUUCAAACUUCCGCGAAAAUAUCGAAAAUGUAGAAAAAAAAGCAUAAAAUGAAACUUUAGUGGUAAUAGUAAAUUUUUAAUAGGGACAGCGGGAAUCUCGCUGAUCCGUUCAAGCGCGUCACCAAUUGAAUGAGGAGGCAUUAGGCUACCCUAAAAGAGUCAUAGUUACCACUGCCGUGUACCCGCGCUUGCUUGAAUUUCUUCUUCUUCACAUUCAGAGCACUCGGCAGAAAGCACAUUGAAAAUUGUCCAAAAUCAACUAAAUAAAAAUGUUUUCAAUAAAUUUGCAAAAAUGUUGAUUCUUGAAAAAAAAAAAUAAAAAAAAAAAAAAAUAAUUAAAAAAAAAAAAAAAAAAAAAAAAACA
This is a long non-coding RNA of Planococcus citri (citrus mealybug), 1866 nucleotides long. RefSeq lists it as uncharacterized. Lineage: Eukaryota; Metazoa; Arthropoda; Insecta; Hemiptera; Pseudococcidae. The record is from RefSeq and is a predicted model, not a curated record. The transcript is spliced from 2 exons.